AACACCAGGGGGUUACAGCUGAUUCUUCACAACUCUGUGUGAGUGGCCUCCUCCAGUAUGCAGCAGGAGUUAGCAGUUCAUAAAGAUGUAAAAGCAUGACCACCUGAGGCUGUAGCUAAUGGCUGCAAUGUCAGCUACAGCUAAGGUCUUGCUGCCUGGCCCCUAAUGACUGUGACAUGCCAGGAGGUAUUCUCUGAUGUCACCACCAUUUCCCGGGGAUGAUGAAGGUGAUUAGGGAAAUCUAAUUAUGGGAGCAUACUUUGGAAAAACCCAAGGAAGCAAAGCAUGUUUUGGGAAGAUUAUUGCCAGGCAUUAUCAAAUUUAGAAAGGUGUGUAUUGAAAUUCCUGAUAUGCGUAAGGUGUUUGUGGGUGUCACUGAAGCAGAUGAGAGGCUUUCUUUUCUCUUGUUUGCUCUGAUGGA
Alligator mississippiensis (American alligator) is the source of this 421-nucleotide long non-coding RNA. RefSeq lists it as uncharacterized. The record is from RefSeq and is a predicted model, not a curated record. The transcript is spliced from 3 exons. Lineage: Eukaryota; Metazoa; Chordata; Crocodylia; Alligatoridae.